GACGAACGCUGGCGGCGUGCCUAAUACAUGCAAGUAGAACGCUGAAGGAGGAGCUUGCUUCUCUGGAUGAGUUGCGAACGGGUGAGUAACGCGUAGGUAACCUGCCUGGUAGCGGGGGAUAACUCUUGGAAACGAUAGCUAAUACCGCAUAAGAGUAGAUGUUGCAUGACAUUUGCUUAAAAGGUGCAAUUGCAUCACUACCAGAUGGUCCUGCGUUGUAUUAGCUAGUUGGUGGGGUAACGGCUCACCAAGGCGACGAUACAUAGCCGACCUGAGAGGGUGAUCGGCCACACUGGGACUGAGACACGGCCCAGACUCCUACGGGAGGCAGCAGUAGGGAAUCUUCGGCAAUGGACGGAAGUCUGACCGAGCAACGCCGCGUGAGUGAAGAAGGUUUUCGGAUCGUAAAGCUCUGUUGUAAGGGAAGAACGAGUGUGAGAGUGGAAAGUUCACACUGUGACGGUAGCUUACCAGAAAGGGACGGCUAACUACGUG
This 495-nucleotide ribosomal RNA is filed under the name uncultured bacterium. Its description in RNAcentral is "partial 16S ribosomal RNA". It matches the Rfam family "Bacterial small subunit ribosomal RNA", at positions 28 to 507 of the family's 1533-position model. The record is from RNAcentral.